Molecule: ribosomal RNA, 465 nt
Filed under: Vreelandella stevensii
Lineage: Bacteria; Pseudomonadati; Pseudomonadota; Gammaproteobacteria; Oceanospirillales; Halomonadaceae
Description: partial 16S ribosomal RNA
Rfam family: Bacterial small subunit ribosomal RNA
Source: RNAcentral
CCUACGGGCGGCAGCAGUGGGGAAUAUUGGACAAUGGGCGAAAGCCUGAUCCAGCCAUGCCGCGUGUGUGAAGAAGGCCUUCGGGUUGUAAAGCACUUUCAGUGGGGAAGAAAGCCUUGGGGCUAAUACCCUCGAGGAAGGACAUCACCCACAGAAGAAGCACCAGCUAACUCCGUGCCAGCAGCCGCGGUAAUACGGAGGGUGCGAGCGUUAAUCGGAAUUACUGGGCGUAAAGCGCGCGUAGGCGGUCUGAUAAGCCGGUUGUGAAAGCCCCGGGCUCAACCUGGGAACGGCAUCCGGAACUGUCAGGCUAGAGUGCAGGAGAGGAAGGUAGAAUUCCCGGUGUAGCGGUGAAAUGCGUAGAGAUCGGGAGGAAUACCAGUGGCGAAGGCGGCCUUCUGGACUGACACUGACGCUGAGGUGCGAAAGCGUGGGUAGCAAACAGGAUUAGAUACCCGAGUAGUC